Molecule: ribosomal RNA, 253 nt
Filed under: uncultured bacterium
Lineage: Bacteria
Description: partial 16S ribosomal RNA
Rfam family: Bacterial small subunit ribosomal RNA
Source: RNAcentral
UACGAAGGGGGCUAGCGUUGCUCGGAAUUACUGGGCGUAAAGGGCGCGUAGGCGGACGACUUAGUCAGAGGUAAAAGCCCAGGGCUCAACCUUGGAACUGCCUUUGAUACUGGUCGUCUUGAGUACGGGAGAGGUGAGUGGAACUCCGAGUGUAGAGGUGAAAUUCGUAGAUAUUCGGAAGAACACCAGUGGCGAAGGCGACUCACUGGCCCGUUACUGACGCUGAGGCGCGAAAGCGUGGGGAGCAAACAGG